RNA transcript from Zingiber officinale, 2142 nucleotides. It is a transcript of the gene named transcription termination factor MTERF8, chloroplastic-like, with no coding region annotated. The transcript has 3 exons. The record is from RefSeq and is a predicted model, not a curated record. Lineage: Eukaryota; Viridiplantae; Streptophyta; Magnoliopsida; Zingiberales; Zingiberaceae.
CAUAGCAGGUAUUAUGUGCCACGUCAACUGUUGUUGCUCGGGAGUUGCUCGGUCCGUCGUUGGGGUUUCGUGGCCAGCGGCGGAAGCGAUUUCGACAGUCUUCAGUUCAGCCGCCGGGACAGGAGGAGCGAUGGCCCCGGUCGCCUUGCGAUUCUCUUUCUCAGCACUCACUCUGCCUUAUCCUUCCACAUACAAGCGCCGCCCCUUCCUCCCUUUCUCGGCUCUCACCGCCAGUCUCCUUCGCCAUCUCUGCAUCGCUCGCGCGGCAACGGGCACCUCGCCUUCAGCGUUCUGGAUCCUGCGAGAGCUCCAUUUGGACGAGAAAGAAGCGGAUGCGCUCCUCCUCGCGCAUCCAGAGCUCGAGCUCACGGCUCAGGAAUCCCUUCGCGACCAUGUACUCACCCUUAAGUCCCUUGGAAUCUCUGACUCUGCGCUCCGCCGCAUCGUCGUCCGGCGCCCAGACGUUCUCUCGGCUACCGAGUUCGGCCCCUUCCUCGAUUUUGUGCUCGCCAAAUUGAAGGGGAUCAAACGGGAGAAAUUGGAGCGGAUUUUGGCGACGAUCCACUCCGAGUUCCUCGAGGGCAUCAUUGCGGGCGCCACGCUUCUCUUGGACCACGGUUUCCCCGGCGAGCAUCUAGGGCAUGUGUUCAACCAUGUGAACAUCAGGAAGGUGUUCCGCGAAAGGCCCCUGAGAGACUUGGAGGAGAUGAUAUUCUAUCUUAAGCGAUUCGGCUGGCCCAAAUGGGUCCUCAGCCGGCCAAUGAUUCUGAAUCUCGAUCUCCAUGGCCAGCUGAUCCCCAGGGUAGAAUUCUUUAUCGAGCUUGGCGGCGGAGAUGAAGCGGCUGGUGCCGCCUUGAUCUCCAAAUUGCCUGCCCUGUUAACCUAUGCAGCAGAUCGCUUCCGUUCCCACCUGGAGUUCUGGAGAUCCGUUGGCCUCACUGACGAAGAGCUCUUUAAGGUUGCAUUGGUGUAUCCCAACAUCUUCAGUGUUAGCAAGGAGCAGAAACUCAAGCCCCGGAUUGAAUUCUUGAGGCAAUGUGGCAUGAGUGCAGAGGACAUCUUCAAAUUCUUGGUCAAGGCUCCCUUGUUCAUGAGCCUGUCCUUCGAGAAAAACCUCUCCAAGAAGCUGAGCUUCCUCGUAAAAAUCGGCCACAGGCACCAGACUAAGGAGUUGGCCUGGGCAUUUGGGGCUGCUACGAGAACAAGCUGCGAGAACAUGCAGAGGGUGAUUGAAGUCUUAUUGAGCUAUGGGCUGUCUUUUGAGGAUAUACUAGCUAUGAGCAAGAAGCAUCAUCAGGUGCUCCAGUACAACCAUAAGUCACUGGAGAAGAAAAUGGAGUUCCUGAUAGAGGAUAUGGAGAGGGAUGUCAGCGAGAUAUUAAACUUCCCAGCAUUUCUUGGAUACAACCUAGAUGACCGGAUUAAGAGACGGUACGAGAUAAAAAGGAAGAUAAGAGGAAAAGGAAUGUCGCUUAACAAGCUCUUGAGUGUGUCUACGGAGAGGUUUUAAGGUUCUACCGCUGAUGGAGCUCAAUCAUAAAUUUGAACAGAGAGAACCACUGGAGAAAUGGUUCUUCAUCCAACUGCAGUGUGAAGUUUUGCAAGAGGAAUGCGAAGUGUCGCCCCUCAGGCGUGGUGGAAAAAGAUAUGACGUAUAUCCCAAGUAAAUAGGGUUUAUAUUCCAUGCUGCAGGGUAUAUCUACGGAGAUUGGAUUAUCAGUGAAGCUGAGACACCGUGCAGCGAUAAGGCACUUUGUGGAUAUCUGUUUGAUUCUUGGCUGAUGCAUAUAUUCUAUUUGGAAGAAAAUGGUAAGAAGUGAUACAAAGUACGAUUAUCUAGGUGAGGUUAGAUGACUCUUACCUAAUGGAGUAGUCAUGUUUGCGGCCCAUAAUUCUAGGAUACGAGUGGAGCAUGAGUAAUCAUGUUUGUGGCCCAUGAUUCUAGUAUAUGAGUGAAGCACGACAGCCUAUAACAAUGGAUCAAUUGUGGAGGUUGAUUGUCAGUGGUCUUCAAUGUGAGUCACGUACUUCCUAAAUUUAUUACAAUCAUAAUUUUUAAUCAUGUUUGUAGCCAAUGAUUCUAGUAUAUGAGUGAAGCAUGACAGCCUAUAACAAUGGAUCAAUUGUGGAGAUCGAUUAUCA